Molecule: ribosomal RNA, 495 nt
Filed under: uncultured bacterium
Lineage: Bacteria
Description: partial 16S ribosomal RNA
Rfam family: Bacterial small subunit ribosomal RNA
Source: RNAcentral
GACGAACGCUGGCGGCGUGCCUAAUACAUGCAAGUAGAACGCUGAAGGAGGAGCUUGCUCUUCUGGAUGAGUUGCGAACGGGUGAGUAACGCGUAGGUAACCUGCCUGGUAGCGGGGGAUAACUAUUGGAAACGAUAGCUAAUACCGCAUAACAGUAGAUGUUGCAUGACAUUUACUUAAAAGGUGCAAUUGCAUCACUACCAGAUGGACCUGCGUUGUAUUAGCUAGUUGGUGGGGUAACGGCUCGCCAAGGCGACGAUACAUAGCCGACCUGAGAGGGUGAUCGGCCACACUGGGACUGAGACACGGCCCAGACUCCUACGGGAGGCAGCAGUAGGGAAUCUUCGGCAAUAGACGGAAGUCUGACCGAGCAACGCCGCGUGAGUGAAGAAGGUUUUCGGAUCGUAAAGCUCUGUUGUAAGAGAAGAACGAGUGUGAGAGUGGAAAGUUCACACUGUGACGGUAUCUUACCAGAAAGGGACGGCUAACUACGUG